Molecule: ribosomal RNA, 467 nt
Filed under: uncultured bacterium
Lineage: Bacteria
Description: bacterial SSU rRNA
Rfam family: Bacterial small subunit ribosomal RNA
Source: RNAcentral
GCCAGACUCCUACGGGAGGCAGCAGUGAGGAAUAUUGGUCAAUGGCCGAGAGGCUGAACCAGCCAAGUCGCGUGAGGGAAGACGGCCCUACGGGUUGUAAACCUCUUUUGUCGGGGAGCAAAGCGAGUCACGUGUGACUCAUUGAGAGUACCCGAAGAAAAAGCAUCGGCUAACUCCGUGCCAGCAGCCGCGGUAAUACGGAGGAUGCGAGCGUUAUCCGGAUUUAUUGGGUUUAAAGGGUGCGCAGGCGGAGGUGCAAGUCAGCGGUCAAAUUGCGGGGCUCAACCCCGUACUGCCGUUGAAACUGCGUUUCUUGAGUGGGCGAGAAGUACGCGGAAUGCGUGGUGUAGCGGUGAAAUGCAUAGAUAUCACGCAGAACUCCGAUUGCGAAGGCAGCAUACCGGCGCUCAACUGACGCUCAUGCACGAAAGCGUGGGUAUCGAACAGGAUUAGAUACCCUAGUAGUC